This 431-nucleotide ribosomal RNA is filed under the name uncultured bacterium. Its description in RNAcentral is "partial 16S ribosomal RNA". It matches the Rfam family "Bacterial small subunit ribosomal RNA", at positions 29 to 507 of the family's 1533-position model. The record is from RNAcentral.
AACGAGCGCUGGCGGCAGGCCUAACACAUGCAAGUCGAGCGCGCCUUCGGGUGAGCGGCGGCCGGGUGAGUAACGCGUGGGAAUAUGCCCUUCUCUACGGAAUAGUCCUGGGAAACUGGGGGUAAUACCGUAUACGCCCUUUGGGGGAAAGAUUUAUCGGGGAAGGAUUAGCCCGCGUUGGAUUAGGUAGUUGGUGGGGUAAUGGCCUACCAAGCCGACGAUCCAUAGCUGGUUUGAGAGGAUGAUCAGCCACACUGGGACUGAGACACGGCCCAGACUCCUACGGGAGGCAGCAGUGGGGAAUCUUAGACAAUGGGGGCAACCCUGAUCUAGCCAUGCCGCGUGAGUGAUGAAGGCCUUAGGGUUGUAAAGCUCUUUCAGCUGGGAAGAUAAUGACGGUACCAGCAGAAGAAGCCCCGGCUAACUCCGUG